This 47-nucleotide transfer RNA is filed under the name Elseya branderhorsti (New Guinea snapping turtle). Its description in RNAcentral is "partial tRNA-Leu". Lineage: Eukaryota; Metazoa; Chordata; Testudines; Chelidae. The record is from RNAcentral.
CUUUUAAAGGAUAAAAGUAAUCCAAUGGUUUUAGGCACCAUUCCCCC